CGGAGGGUGCAAGCGUUGUCCGGAUUUAUUGGGUUUAAAGGGUGCGCAGGCGGCCCUUAAGUCAGUGGUGAAAGCCCGCGGCUCAACCGCGGAACUGCCAUUGAUACUGGGGGGCUUGAGUACAGACGAGGUGGGCGGAAUUGAAGAUGUAGCGGUGAAAUGCUUAGAUAUCUUCAAGAACACCGAUUGCGUAGGCAGCUUACUAGGCUGUAACUGACGCUGAGGCACGAAAGCGUGGGGAGCGAACAGGAUUAGAUACCCUGGUAGUCCACGCCGUAAACGAUGAUUACUCGAUGUCGGCGAUAGACCGUCGGCGUCUUAGCGAAAGCGUUAAGUAAUCCACCUAGGGAGUACGCCCGCAAGGGUG
This 367-nucleotide ribosomal RNA is filed under the name uncultured organism. RNAcentral describes it as "bacterial SSU rRNA". It matches the Rfam family "Bacterial small subunit ribosomal RNA", at positions 526 to 896 of the family's 1533-position model. The record is from RNAcentral.